GACGAACGCUGGCGGCGUGCCUAAUACAUGCAAGUCGAACGCAUUUUCUUUCACCGUAGCUUGCUACACCGAAAGAAAAUGAGUGGCGAACGGGUGAGUAACACGUGGGUAACCUGCCCAUCAGCGGGGGAUAACACUUGGAAACAGGUGCUAAUACCGCAUAAUUCCAUUUACUGCAUGGUAGAUGGAUGAAGGGCGCUUUUGCGUCACUGAUGGAUGGACCCGCGGUGCUUUAGCUAGUUGGUGGGGUAACGGCCUACCAAGGCUGCGAUGCAUAGCCGACCUGAGAGGGUGAUCGGCCACACUGGGACUGAGACACGGCCCAGACGCCUACGGGAGGCAGCAGGAGGGAAUCUUCGGCAAUGGACGCAAGUCUGACCGAGCGACGCCGCGUGAGUGAAGAAGGUUUUCGGAUCGUAAAACUCGGUUGUUAGAAAAGAACAAGGAUGAGAGUGGAAAGUUCAUCCCUUGACGGUAUCUAACCAGAAAGCCACGGCUAACUACGUG
RNAcentral lists this ribosomal RNA (507 nucleotides) under uncultured bacterium. Its description in RNAcentral is "partial 16S ribosomal RNA". It matches the Rfam family "Bacterial small subunit ribosomal RNA", at positions 28 to 507 of the family's 1533-position model. The record is from RNAcentral.